GUCGUUAUACGUUCGUUUUUUUUUUUUGAGGCGGUUAGGGGCAGCGCUGCGGUAAAGCGCAGAGAAAUGUGAAUAAAAAUAGAUAUAAAGCAGCAGGAUGACAGAUUUGGGAGCAUUUUUUAAUCGUGCAAUUAGUGCAGAGCAGUGCACCGCUACUGUCGUGUUUUUAUUUGCAUUAAAUAGCUGGGUAAUUGUUAUUUUUAUAGGGAAUGAUUAGUCAUUGCGAGCGGUGUGUGCGCGAACAAUAAAUCAAGAGUCCUCUGAUCCGCCAAAAGGGGCAAACAUUUAUUUUUACCCUAAAAAUAAAAACGAUAAAAUAACAAAGAGAGCUAGAGAGGGUUUGUGUUUGACCAAAAAAUAUAAAUAAAAAAAAUAGUUAACAUUUCAAUUGUUUUGGUCAUAAAUUAAGACUAAAUUUGGUUAAAUCAAAUAAUUCGUCCGUGAUGCUCUUCGGUGAAAAAUCCUUUGAUUUUCAUUCCACCAACGACGAUUAAGUAAACAUACAAUUUAUCGUUAUAAAAACAAAUAUAAAAAUGUUUAAGGUAAAACAAGUAACAUUGUGUAAUAAAACAAAAAAUAAAAUAAUUCUAAACAAAAACAAAAGAAUUAUACAAUUAUUAUGUGAAGAAUAAAAUAAAAUGCGAGAAGUAAGAUUUUUCACUUCACUUCAAACGAAUAUUCUUAUUCAUUCAAUGACUUGCGAGGUUCAAAUUAAUUGAAAAUAAUUUAUCAAGCACGUGGAAUUAAUUAAGAUCUAUUUCCACUGAAGGAGCAGUCAUCAUUGGAAGAUUUCCCCGUUUUAGAAUUUCAUUUCUGAUUGUUUCAUUUCUAUUGACAGUCUCUUGUGAUGGUUUCAAACGGAAAGGAUCAUUCGAAUGAACUGAUGAACUCCAAGAAUCAGACUUCUCUUCAGAAAUUGAAUCAUUAUUAUUAUUAUUAUUUAAAGUUGACGUAGAUACACUAGGACUAAAACGAGAUGACGAACUGAUUCUGAAUUUGUUGGUGUUUUCUGUGAUGAAUGCAAAGAGGACCAAGGACUAAAGCACACACGACUGUUAUCGAUGGUAGCAUCAGUUUCGCUGAAUUCUUUAGACGAUUGUUGGUGAAACUAAAGAAAAUGAAAAACAUCAAAAAUUCAAUGGCUGAUCGGCACCAGGAAAAUACUCGCAGAGUAAAGUCAUGAUUUCUACAACGUGCUGCAUAGAUGGACGGUCUGAUGGUUCACGACUCCAACAAGAUGUGUAGAGUUCUUCGAUUGGCUUGGGGCAGCCUUCUAUUAUUGGUGGACGGUUGCCUUAAUUAAACGAUGGACGUUCAAACAUUCGAAUACAGGUUUUGAAAUAAAACGGAAUUGAACAUCUUAUAAACGGUUUGAAAAAAGUUGUAUUAUUUUUUUAAUUUCCUAAAUAAAUGUACCUACAAGUAAACUUUAAAAAUGACUUAUUAAUAAAAUAGUUGAGAUCGUCUUGAGCUUAAAUUUUAGGCAAUUAAAUUUG
Molecule: long non-coding RNA, 1496 nt
Organism: Eupeodes corollae
Lineage: Eukaryota; Metazoa; Arthropoda; Insecta; Diptera; Syrphidae
Exons: 6
Source: RefSeq, a predicted model, not a curated record